CGCGAUACAGGGUGACAGCCCCGUACACAAAAAUGCACAUGCUGUGAGCUCGAUGAGUAGGGCGGGACACGUGGUAUCCUGUCUGAAUAUGGGGGGACCAUCCUCCAAGGCUAAAUACUCCUGACUGACCGAUAGUGAACCAGUACCGUGAGGGAAAGGCGAAAAGAACCCCGGCGAGGGGAGUGAAAAAGAACCUGAAACCGUGUACGUACAAGCAGUGGGAGCACGCUUAGGCGUGUGACUGCGUACCUUUUGUAUAAUGGGUCAGCGACUUAUAUUCUGUAGCAAGGUUAACCGAAUAGGGGAGCCGAAGGGAAACCGAGUCUUAACUGGGCGUUAAGUUGCAGGGUAUAGACCCGAAACCCGGUGAUCUAGCCAUGGGCAGGUUGAAGGUUGGGUAACACUAACUGGAGGACCGAACCGACUAAUGUUGAAAAAUUAGCGGAUGACUUGUGGCUGGGGGUGAAAGGCCAAUCAAACCGGGAGAUAGCUGGUUCUCCCCGAAAGCUAUUUAGGUAGCGCCUCGUGAAUUCAUCUCCGGGGGUAGAGCACUGUUUCGGCAAGGGGGUCAUCCCGACUUACCAACCCGAUGCAAACUGCGAAUACCGGAGAAUGUUAUCACGGGAGACACACGGCGGGUGCUAACGUCCGUCGUGAAGAGGGAAACAACCCAGACCGCCAGCUAAGGUCCCAAAGUCAUGGUUAAGUGGGAAACGAUGUGGGAAGGCCCAGACAGCCAGGAUGUUGGCUUAGAAGCAGCCAUCAUUUAAAGAAAGCGUAA
Molecule: ribosomal RNA, 781 nt
Filed under: Escherichia coli
Lineage: Bacteria; Pseudomonadati; Pseudomonadota; Gammaproteobacteria; Enterobacterales; Enterobacteriaceae
Description: partial 23S ribosomal RNA
Rfam family: Bacterial large subunit ribosomal RNA
Source: RNAcentral